AGAGUUUGAUCAUGGCUCAGAGUGAACGCUGGCGGCGUGCUUAACACAUGCAAGUCGAACGAGAACGGAUUAUAGCUUGCUAUAAUUGUCGCUAAGUGGCGCACGGGUGAGUAAUAUAUAGGAACAUGCCUCUUACUAAGGGAUAACAGAUGGAAACGUCUGCUAAUACCUUAUAUGCCUUUAAUACUGAAGUAUGCAAGGGAAAGAUUUAUUGGUAAGAGAUUGGCCUGUACGGUAUCAGUUAGUUGGUGAGGUAAUGGCUCACCAAGACGAUGACACCUAACUGGUUUGAGAGGAUGAUCAGUCACACUGGAACUGAGACACGGUCCAGACUCCUACGGGAGGCAGCAGUGGGGAAUAUUGCACAAUGGACGAAAGUCUGAUGCAGCAACGCCGCGUGGAGGAUGAACAUUUCGGUGCGUAAACUCCUUUUAUAGGUCAAGAUAAUGACGGUAGCCUAUGAAUAAGCGCCGGCUAACUCCGUGCAGCAGCCGGGUAAUACGGAGGGCGCAAGCGUUACUCGGAAUCACUGGGCGUAAAGCGCGCGUAGGUGGUUCAGUCAGUCAGAUGUGAAAGCCCCGGGCUCAACCUGGGAAUUGCACCUGAUACUGCUGAGCUAGAGUACGGUAGAGGGUAGUGGAAUUUCCGGUGUAGCGGUGAAAUGCGUAGAGAUCGGAAGGAACACCAGUGGCGAAGGCGACUACCUGGACCGAUACUGACACUGAGGUGCGAAAGCGUGGGUAGCAAACAGGAUUAGAUACCCUGGUAGUCCACGCCGUAAACGAUGUCAACUAGCCGUUGGGGGACUUGAUCCUUUAGUGGCGCAGCUAACGCGAUAAGUUGACCGCCUGGGGAGUACGGCCGCAAGGUUAAAACUCAAAUGAAUUGACGGGGGCCCGCACAAGCGGUGGAGCAUGUGGUUUAAUUCGAAGCAACGCGAAGAACCUUACCUACUCUUGACAUCCAGAGAACUUUCCAGAGAUGGAUUGGUGCCUUCGGGAACUCUGAGACAGGUGCUGCAUGGCUGUCGUCAGCUCGUGUUGUGAAAUGUUGGGUUAAGUCCCGUAACGAGCGCAACCCCUAUCCUUAUUUGCCAGCACUUCGGGUGGGAACUCUAAGGAGACUGCCGGUGACAAACCGGAGGAAGGUGGGGAUGACGUCAAGUCAUCAUGGCCCUUACGAGUAGGGCUACACACGUGCUACAAUGGCCGGUACAGAGGGCUGCAAACUCGCGAGGGUAAGCUAAUCUCACAAAACCGGUCGUAGUCCGGAUUGGAGUCUGCAACUCGACUCCAUGAAGUCGGAAUCGCUAGUAAUCGUGAAUCAGAAUGUCACGGUGAAUACGUUCCCGGGCCUUGCAUACACCCCCGUC
This 1372-nucleotide ribosomal RNA is filed under the name uncultured Marinobacterium sp. RNAcentral's name for it is "bacterial SSU rRNA". It matches the Rfam family "Bacterial small subunit ribosomal RNA". The record is from RNAcentral. Lineage: Bacteria; Pseudomonadati; Pseudomonadota; Gammaproteobacteria; Oceanospirillales; Oceanospirillaceae.